AGCGUAGACGGUGUGGCAAGUCUGAUGUGAAAGGCAUGGGCUCAACCUGUGGACUGCAUUGGAAACUGUCAUACUUGAGUGCCGGAGAGGUAAGCGGAAUUCCUAGUGUAGCGGUGAAAUGCGUAGAUAUUAGGAGGAACACCAGUGGCGAAGGCGGCUUACUGGACGGUAACUGACGUUGAGGCUGAAAGCGUGGGGGAGCAAACA
This 207-nucleotide ribosomal RNA is filed under the name uncultured bacterium. Its description in RNAcentral is "partial 16S ribosomal RNA". It matches the Rfam family "Bacterial small subunit ribosomal RNA", at positions 568 to 774 of the family's 1533-position model. The record is from RNAcentral.